AAAUUGAAGAGUUUGAUCAUGGCUCAGAUUGAACGCUGGCGGCAGGCCUAACACAUGCAAGUCGAACGGUAACAGGAAGAAGCUUGCUUCUUUGCUGACGAGUGGCGGACGGGUGAGUAAUGUCUGGGAAACUGCCUGAUGGAGGGGGAUAACUACUGGAAACGGUAGCUAAUACCGCAUAACGUCGCAAGACCAAAGAGGGGGACCUUCGGGCCUCUUGCCAUCGGAUGUGCCCAGAUGGGAUUAGCUAGUAGGUGGGGUAACGGCUCACCUAGGCGACGAUCCCUAGCUGGUCUGAGAGGAUGACCAGCCACACUGGAACUGAGACACGGUCCAGACUCCUACGGGAGGCAGCAGUGGGGAAUAUUGCACAAUGGGCGCAAGCCUGAUGCAGCCAUGCCGCGUGUAUGAAGAAGGCCUUCGGGUUGUAAAGUACUUUCAGCGGGGAGGAAGGGAGUAAAGUUAAUACCUUUACUCAUUGACGUUACCCGCAGAAGAAGCACCGGCUAACUCCGUGCCAGCAGCCGCGGUAAUACGGAGGGUGCAAGCGUUAAUCGGAAUUACUGGGCGUAAAGCGCACGCAGG
Molecule: ribosomal RNA, 585 nt
Filed under: Escherichia coli
Lineage: Bacteria; Pseudomonadati; Pseudomonadota; Gammaproteobacteria; Enterobacterales; Enterobacteriaceae
Description: bacterial SSU rRNA
Rfam family: Bacterial small subunit ribosomal RNA
Source: RNAcentral